RNAcentral lists this ribosomal RNA (480 nucleotides) under Triticum aestivum (bread wheat). RNAcentral's name for it is "partial small subunit ribosomal RNA". Lineage: Eukaryota; Viridiplantae; Streptophyta; Magnoliopsida; Poales; Poaceae. The record is from RNAcentral.
AUGGGAGAAGUUGUCGAUGGCACUAUCGCUUUAAUAUCCAAGCUUCCUAGCUUGCAGUCCUUGACCCUCCAUGGGUCAGGCUCAGAGAAGCCAAAUUUCUCUUGGAUUGGCAAUCUUGAGCGUUUAAGAUACUUGGACCUGGAACACUACAACUUGUCCAGUCCGAUACCUUCUUGGGUUCGCAACCUUACAAGUUUGACAAGUUUGUUGCUUCGAGAUUGCAGCUUAUAUGGGAGGAUACCCAUCUGGAUCAACAACUUAACAAAUCUUUCUCGGCUAUAUCUUACCAGAAAUAACCUUCAAGGUGACAUUCCAAAAUGUCUGUUAAAUCAUCCAAAUUUGGAAGAACUGAACUUAGGAUCAAAUCAACUUUCUGGUCACCUUGAAGAUGUUUCUGCACCACGAUCUUCACCUUUAUAUUAUGUUGUGUUAUGUUUUAAUCAGCUAAGUGGCCACAUACCCAAAUCAUUCUUCAGUUGA